GGGGGUGUAGCUUAGUGGUAGAGUGUGUGCUUAGCAUUUGCAGGCCCUGGGUUUGAUCCCCAGCAUCCCAU
Molecule: transfer RNA, 71 nt
Filed under: Cavia porcellus (domestic guinea pig)
Lineage: Eukaryota; Metazoa; Chordata; Mammalia; Rodentia; Caviidae
Rfam family: tRNA
About the family: Transfer RNA (tRNA) molecules are approximately 80 nucleotides in length. Their secondary structure includes four short double-helical elements and three loops (D, anti-codon, and T loops).
Source: Rfam by way of RNAcentral